This is a non-coding RNA of Triticum urartu, 135 nucleotides long. Lineage: Eukaryota; Viridiplantae; Streptophyta; Magnoliopsida; Poales; Poaceae. The record is from Rfam.
UUGUUACUCCCUCCGUCCUAAAACUCUUGUUUUAGAUUUGUCUAGAUACAGAUGUAUCUAAUACUAAAACGUGACUUGAUACAUCCGUAUUUAGACAAAUCUAAGACAAGAAUUUUGGGACGGAUGGAGUAUUUA